Molecule: ribosomal RNA, 73 nt
Filed under: Pseudocoprococcus catus
Lineage: Bacteria; Bacillati; Bacillota; Clostridia; Lachnospirales; Lachnospiraceae
Also listed under: 1 other name
Source: RNAcentral
GCUUACGGCCAUACCUCUCUGGUUCCGCCCGAUCUCGUCUGAUCUCGGAAGCUAAGCAGAGCAGGGCCUGGUU